RNAcentral lists this microRNA (21 nucleotides) under Physcomitrium patens. RNAcentral's name for it is "ppt-miR1026a". The record is from miRBase by way of RNAcentral. Lineage: Eukaryota; Viridiplantae; Streptophyta; Bryopsida; Funariales; Funariaceae.
UGAGAAAGACUUGAGAGGACA